Molecule: transfer RNA, 71 nt
Filed under: Bos taurus (domestic cattle)
Lineage: Eukaryota; Metazoa; Chordata; Mammalia; Artiodactyla; Bovidae
Also listed under: 2 other names
Rfam family: tRNA
About the family: Transfer RNA (tRNA) molecules are approximately 80 nucleotides in length. Their secondary structure includes four short double-helical elements and three loops (D, anti-codon, and T loops).
Source: Rfam by way of RNAcentral
UCCCAGGUGGCUCAGUGGUAAAGAAUCCGCCUGCAAUGCAGGAGACCCAGGUUUGAUCCCUGGGUUGAGAA